UACGUAGGAUGCGAGCGUUAUCCGGAUUUAUUGGGUUUAAAGGGUGCGUAGGCGGGAUGCCGAGUCAGCGGUAAAAAUGCGGUGCUCAACGCCGUCGAGCCGUUGAAACUGGCGUUCUUGAGUGGGCGAGAGGUAUGCGGAAUGCGUGGUGUAGCGGUGAAAUGCAUAGAUAUCACGCAGAACUCCGAUUGCGAAGGCGGCAUACCGGCGCCCUACUGACGCUGAGGCACGAAAGCGUGGGUAUCGAACAGG
Molecule: ribosomal RNA, 252 nt
Filed under: uncultured bacterium
Lineage: Bacteria
Description: partial 16S ribosomal RNA
Rfam family: Bacterial small subunit ribosomal RNA
Source: RNAcentral